Molecule: small nuclear RNA, 101 nt
Filed under: Propithecus coquereli (Coquerel's sifaka)
Lineage: Eukaryota; Metazoa; Chordata; Mammalia; Primates; Indriidae
Source: RNAcentral
CAGCUCACUUCAGCAGCACACAUACUACAACUGGAACAAGAAGAUCAGCAUGGCCCCUGCACAAGGAUGACAUGCAAAUUCAUGAAGCAUUCCAUAUUUUU